Molecule: ribosomal RNA, 468 nt
Filed under: uncultured bacterium
Lineage: Bacteria
Description: partial 16S ribosomal RNA
Rfam family: Bacterial small subunit ribosomal RNA
Source: RNAcentral
GACGAACGCUGGCGGCGUGCUUAACACAUGCAAGUCGAACGGAAAGGCCCGGCUUUUGUUGGGUUCUCGAUUGGCGAACGGGUGUGUGACACGUGAGUAACCUGCCCUUGUCUUUGGGAUAACUUCAGGAAACUGGGGCUAAUACCGGAUAGGAGCUCUUGCUGCAUGGUGGGGGAUGGUAAGUGUCGGCGGUGGUGGAUGGAAUGGCGGCUUAUCAGCUAGUUGGUGGGGUAGUUGCUUUCCAAGGCUUUGAAGGGUAGCCGGCCUAAGAGGUUGACCGGCGACAUGGGGCCUGCGGUACGGAGCAGACUCGUACGGGAGGCAGCAGUGGAGAGUCUUGCGCAACGGGCGGAAGCGUGAUGUAGCGGUGCUGCGUGCGGGAAGACGUGUUUCGGGUUGUAAACCGCUUUCGCAUGAGACGAAGCGUGAGUGACGGUAAUGAGUAAAGAAGCACCGGCUAACUACGUG